Betta splendens (Siamese fighting fish) is the source of this 7201-nucleotide long non-coding RNA. RefSeq lists it as uncharacterized. Lineage: Eukaryota; Metazoa; Chordata; Actinopteri; Anabantiformes; Osphronemidae. The record is from RefSeq and is a predicted model, not a curated record. The transcript has 2 exons.
GGCCCCCUACGAGACAGACAGUUUACCAGAUAGGUCCAACUACAGAGACAGACAGGCAGGUCCAACUACAGAGACAGACAGGCAGGUGCAACUACAGAGACAGACAGGCAGUUUAGCAGACAGAUCCAACUACAGAGACAGACAGGCAGUUCAACUACAGAGACAGACAGGCAGGUCCAACUACAGAGACAGACAGGCAGUUUGCCAGACAGGUCCAACUACAGAGACAGACAGGCAGGUCCAACUACAGACACAGACAGGCAGAUCCCACUACAGACAGACAGACAGGCAGAUCCCACUACAGACAGACAGACAGGUCCAACUACAGACACAGACAGGCAGUUUAGCAGACAGGUCCAACUACAGAGACAGACAGGCAGUUUAGCAGACAGGUCCAACUACAGAGAAAGACAGGCAGUUUAGCAGACAGGUCCAACUACAGAGACAGACAGGCAAGUUCAACUACAGACAGGCAGUUUACCAGACAGGUCCAACUACAGAGACAGACAGGCAGGUCCAACUACAGACACAGACAGGCAGGUCCAACUACAGACAGACAAGCAGCUGCAACUACAGACAGACAAGCAGCUGCAACUACAGAGACAGACAGGCAGUUUAGCAGACAGGUCCAACUACAGAGACAGACAGGCAAGUUCAACUACAGAGACAGACAGGCAAGUUCAACUACAGAGACAGACAGGCAGUUUGCCAGACAGGUCCAACUACAGAGACAGACAUGUCCAACUACAGACACAGACAGGCAGUUUAGCAGACAGGUCCAACUACAGAGACAGACAGGCAAGUUCAACUACAGACAGGCAGUUUACCAGACAGGUCCAGCUACAGACAGGCAGUUUACCCGACAGGUCCAACUACAGAGACAGACAGGUCCAACUACAGACAGACAGUUUACCCGACAGGUCCAACUACAGACACAGACAGGUCCAACUACAGAGACAGAUAGGUCCAACUACAGACAGGCAGUUUACCCGAGAGGUCCAACUACAGAGACAGACAGGCAAGUUCUACUACAGAGACAGACAGGCAGUUCACCAGACAGGUCCAACUACAGAGACAGACAGGUCCAACUACAGACAGGCAGUUUAGCAGACAGGUCCAACUACAGAGACAGACAGGCAGUUUAGCAGACAGGUCCAACUACAGAGACAGACAGGCAAGUUCAACUACAGACAGGCAGUUUACCAGACAGGUCCAACUACAGGCACAGACAGGCAGCUGCAACUACAGACACAGACAGGCAGCUGCAACUACAGACACAGACAGGCAGUUUAGCAGACAGGUCCAACUACAGAGACAGACAGGCAAGUUCAACUACAGAGACAGACAGGCAGUUCGCCAGACAGGUCCAACUACAGAGACAGACAGGCAAGUUCAACUACAGAGACAGACAGGCAGUUCACCAGACAGGUCCAACUACAGAGACAGACAGGCAGGUCCAACUACAGACACAGACAGUCAGGUCCAACUACAGACACAGGCAGCUGCAACUACAGAGACAGACAGGCAGUUUAGCAGACAGGUCCAACUACAGAGACAGACAGGCAAGUUCAACUACAGAGACAGACAGGCAAGUUCAACUACAGAGACACAGGCAGUUUGCCAGACAGGUCCAACUACAGAGACAGACAGGUCCAACUACAGACACAGACAGGCAGUUUAGCAGACAGGUCCAACUACAGAGACAGACAGGUCCAACUACAGACAGGCAGUUUACCCGACAGGUCCAACCACAGAGACAGACAGGUCCAACUACAGAGACAGACAGGUCCAACUACAGACAGGCAGUUUACCCGAGAGGUCCAACUACAGAGACAGACAGGCAAGUUCUACUACAGAGACAGACAGGCAGUUCACCAGACAGGUCCAACUACAGAGACAGACAGGCAAGUUCAACUACAGACAGGCAGUUUACCAGACAGGUCCAACUACAGGCACAGACAGGCAGCUGCAACUACAGACACAGACAGGCAGCUGCAACUACAGAGACAGACAGGCAGUUUAACAGACAGGUCCAACUACAGAGACAGACAGGCAAGUUCAACUACAGAGACAGACAGGCAGUUCGCCAGACAGGUCCAACUACAGAGACAGACAGGCAAGUUCAACUACAGAGACAGACAGGCAGUUCACCAGACAGGUCCAACUACAGAGACAGACAGGCAGGUCCAACUACAGACACAGACAGUCAGGUCCAACUACAGACAGACAGGCAGCUGCAACUACAGAGACAGACAGGCAGUUUAGCAGACAGGUCCAACUACAGAGACAGACAGGCAAGUUCAACUACAGAGACAGACAGGCAAGUUCAACUACAGAGACAGACAGGCAGUUUGCCAGACAGGUCCAACUACAGAGACAGACAGGUCCAACUACAGACACAGACAGGCAGUUUAGCAGACAGGUCCAACUACAGAGACAGACAGGUCCAACUACAGAGACAGACAGGUCCAACUACAGACAGGCAGUUUACCCGACAGGUCCAACCACAGAGACAGACAGGUCCAACUACAGAGACAGACAGGUCCAACUACAGACAGGCAGUUUACCCGAGAGGUCCAACUACAGAGACAGACAGGCAGUUCACCAGACAGGACCAACUACAGAGACAGACAGGUCCAACUACAGACAGGCAGUUUAGCAGACAGGUCCAACUACAGAGACAGACAGGCAGUUUACCAGACAGCUGCAACUACAGAGACAGACAGGCAAGUUCAACUACAGACAGGCAGUUUACCAGACAGGUCCAGCUACAGACAGGCAGUUUACCCGAGAGGUCCAAAUACAGAGACAGACAGGCAAGUUCAACUACAGAGACAGACAGGCAGUUUAGCAGACAGGUCCAACUACAGAGACAGACAGGCAGCUGCAACUACAGAGACAGACAGGCAGCUGCAACUACAGAGACAGACAGGCAGUUUAGCAGACAGGUCCAAUUACAGAGACAGACAGGCAAGUUCAACUACAGAGACAGACAGGCAGUUUGCCAGACAGGUCCAACUACAGAGACAGACAGGCAGUUCACCAGACAGGUCCAACUACAGAGACAGACAGGCAAGUCCAACUACAGACAGUCAGGUCCAACUACAGACACAGACAGUCAGGUCCAACUACAGACAGACAGGCAGCUGCAACUACAGAGACAGACAGGCAGUUUACCAGACAGGUCCAACUACAGAGACAGACAGGCAAGUUCAACUACAGAGACAGACAGGCAGUUUGCCAGACAGGUCCAACUACAGAGACAGACAGGUCCAACUACAGACACAGACAGGCAGUUUAGCAGACAGGUCCAACUACAGAGACAGACAGGUCCAACUACAGAGACAGACAGGUCCAACUACAGACAGGCAGUUUACCCGACAGGUCCAACUACAGAGACAGACAGGUCCAACUACAGACAGGCAGUUUACCCGAGAGGUCCAACUACAGAGACAGACAGGCAAGUUCAACUACAGAGACAUACAGGCAGUUCACCAGACAGGUCCAACUACAGAGACAGACAGGUCCAACUACAGACAGGCAGUUUAGCAGACAGGUCCAACUACAGAGACAGACAGGCAGUUUACCAGACAGGUCCAGCUACAGAGACAGAAAAACAGACUGGCAGGUCCAACUACAGAGACAGACAGGUCCACACCAUGGUGUCAGAGAACUCCUUCUUGUCGCUGAUGUCGUCCACCGUGUAGGUUCCUGACUGGUUGAGGUAGUAGUAGUAGUCGGGUGUCGUGAUCCCCAGGUUCUCCCUCUGUUCUGCACUAGCACCUCCGAGCAGCUGAGGUCAGAGGUCAGAGAAAUGCCAGGUCACAUUUUGCGUUCAUACCGGUUCAGGACCUGUGACCGGUUCACGGUACCUGGUAGUAGAUGUGGAAGUUUCUCUCUCCAGGAUUCUGGGAAAUUACUCGACUUUUUUCCAAGAGAAAGUUGGAGAUUUUGCCUCCAUCAGGCGCUCCUCCACGACUGAACUGGAUCUCAAAGUAUUUACCCUGAUUGGACGCAGAGCGAAGGUUGUGUUUUUGCUGUGGACAGUUUUGUGUCUGUCUGUUAUUGGAGGAUUUUAUACUCACGAAUCUGCUGGAGUUGUUGUUGCGGACGGUCUUGGCGUUUCCAAAGGCCUCCAGUAGAGGGUUGGACUGCAGGAUGAUGUCUUUAACGUGCUGCACACAAACACACCGUGUAGGUAACGGCUGUGAUGGCUCAUCACACCACUAGAACAUCUGCUCACCUGGACCUUGUCGCCGCCUCCAGACACCUUCGACACGUAGCUCAUGAUGUAUUUAGCAGCAACAGUUUUUCCAGCUCCACUUUCACCACUAACAGACAAGAUUCAUGAUAAAGUCUGAUGAAACGAUGGUUUUGUUGCUUCACUGAGAGUAGAGUUUAGGUGUAAAUACGAUCAUAUCAAACCUGAAACUCAACUGUUUUUUUUACAAGUGUGAUAAACAACAAGAAGCAGAACCUGAAUGUGUGGCCCAAAACCAAAGAUCAGUUAAGCCCAGUCUAGUUGCCAUGGAGACUCAUUGAUGUAUUGAACCAGAGCUUGCUGCAUUUUACCUGAUGAUCACACACUGGUUCUCGAUGUCAAUCAUCAUGUUUCUGUACAUGUUGUCAGCCAGGGCGUAGAUGUGUGGCGGGUUCUCGUACUGAGCCUGUGGGGGAGGGGAGGUUCUGGAGGUUAGUGACGUCUUCGUGAUUGUGGAGACUGGACCCACGUGAUGCCUGCGGUCUCACCGCUGCCUGGUAGAGCUCCACCUCUCGGUCGGUGAAGUACGGAAGCUGUUUGAAUGGAUUCACAGAGAUCAGAACCGGACCAAUGUAGGUCUGACACAAAGAAGCGAGUCAAGGGUUAACCAGGAGAACUUGUUACCACAUUCAUGGUGUGUGUUAAGGCUAAAACUAACAGUGAUGUGACACGUGAGGAUACGAAGAUGUAGUCGUCCAUGUAUCUCUUCUUCAGGUUGUCUGUGAUGGCGUCCUCGUUGAUCUUGGACAACAGCACCAUGUCGUCCACGCCGCUGACCUUCACGUUCUGAGCCUGCCAAUGGUAGCGCUCCUUGCUGCCCUGUGGGGGGAGGGGAGGGGUUAGAAAAAACACCUCUGGACAGGGGGUUAGUGGACCAGACUUCAUGGUUCUGUAACCAGGUGAGGUGCCAUCACCGCCACAGGUAACAAACCUGUGGGAUUCCAGUUGGACCUCUUCUCUCCGGAAUUCCCAGGAUUCCUGGGUCCUGUGGGAUCUUGUCAUGUUGCGCAGCGACACGUUUGUUCCAACUCGCUAAGAUGCAGGAAGCUGCAUGUUUCAGGGUGUGUGUGUGUGUUGACACACGUUUGUAGAUGUAGCUUUGUAAGAAUACUUACUGAGGAAAUUCAUCCUGAAUCAAACCCAGACCAAAAUGAUCCCAAGCCCUAGAACCUCAUGUUCACUCACCAAUCCUUCUCAGAGUUAAUGGUGAGUCUGGGUGUGAGUGGAGUUGCUACAAUAAGAACCAGUCCAGUUGAAAGCCCAGGGUUCGUUUGACCCCUCUUUAACCCCAUCAGGUGUCAUUUAGUUCAGAAAGAGCUGCUCAGAUAAAACCAAGGUUUUAAUACUUGGGGACACAUUAUUGAAUCAAUUAGUUACUGUGGAUGAUGUAAAUUCAGGUUCUACUGUAGGAACUUUGGUGUCGUCUUUGACCAACAUCGCUCCUUUACCUAUAUUAAAUCUCUAGAACCUCCUACUUCCAUCUGAAAAUAAGGACUUAGAGAAGCCGAUGGAGGAGAAAUGUGAUUUAUUUUCCUGUCCUGGAAAAUCUAGGAGACAGUUCACACUUCCAAAGCUCCUAAUGAUCAGCUCCACCUUCUCAUCGAGUCCUCAUAGCUCCUGGUGGUUCUAAAGGUUCUACAUGUGGAAUGGGAGGCAGAGCCUUUGUGGAACAAGGUCCAGUUCAGGUUCUAGAAGCAGACAUCAUCAGCUUUCAGGACCAGGCUUAGAACCUUAGCUAGAGAUGGUUCAGGUCCCGUUGAAGCAUCAGUGCCUUGAGAUGAAUUUUGCUGUGAAUUCAUUUCAUCUAGAGACAUGUGACAUGCGUUUCCAUGGUAACCGCAUGUUAAACAUAUUUUAACAUUUAAUGUGUUACAGAAUUUAAUUUAGUAUUACUCAAUUAUUUAUUCUGUUUUAUUCAUCUUUCAAUGUUUAAAAAAAUUGUUUCCAUUUUUUUUAUUUAAUUUUCAUAAAUGUUUACAUUAGAAUAAAUAAUACAGUCAGCAAUCAAUCUUUGACAUUUUUACACAUUCAGUUAAAAUAAAUUUCAGGUCGUUUUGUUUAUAACUACUUUCAUUGAGAUCUUUUUUGUUUGCUUAUGUUGUUGUUUUGCUUGUGACUUUAAAAUUUAACUGAACACUUCGUAGAUUUUUAUUUACCAUUUAUUUUAUUUAUCUUAUCUUGCAUUUUCUGAAACUUAAUCUGAAAUCAGGAAGAUUUUUUAUUUAAACAUAGGUCUGUUAUUGAAGCUUGGUAGGUAUAAAACUGGACCUGAAACGGGACCAGGAGCAGUUAACAUGUCUCAUUAUCAGGUUAAAAGAAAACAAAGUCAGGGAUCUCACCAUGUCUGCUCCUCCGUCCCACACUUCCUGCUUCAGCUACAAGUUGAGAAAUCUUACACGUCUUGGGUGGAGACGGUGGAUCCAGGCAGACCUGGACUGAAGCAGGAUCACUUUAGUCCAGAUCAGAUCGGCUCGGUUUGGUGGAGUCAGCUUGAUUCUACAGACUGUGACAUAUUUGUCUCAGUUUGAUUUGUCCCGUAAUCCUUCCUUCAGUCUUCAGUCUCUCAACUCUCUGCAGGUGUGGGCAGGUGAAGCCACGCCUCCUUCUUAGCCCAGAGGACUUUGGGUAAUGUGGUCUUGAAGCUUGACAAAUGGACUGCUGUUGCCCCCUGAAUUGGAUUCACGCUACAAUUCAGCUUUAUUGAUGAUGACGUCUGGUCACUGUAGAAUAUUAACAUGAAACAUUUGUUUAAAUAAUUAACUCAGUAAUUUGUAACUAUGUUUAUUAGACAAUCUGAAGGCGUGUCUGAAACAUACAAACACAGCGAACAGUCUUGGUUCUGGUCUAGGGAGAACAGGCUGCAGUGAAGUCCUGCGCUCACAGGGCCCCUUCACCCUGACGAGCUUUGAAUUCAUUUUACAUUCAGAGCCACAAACAGAA